This is a long non-coding RNA of Eriocheir sinensis (Chinese mitten crab), 4032 nucleotides long. RefSeq lists it as uncharacterized. The transcript is spliced from 2 exons. Lineage: Eukaryota; Metazoa; Arthropoda; Malacostraca; Decapoda; Varunidae. The record is from RefSeq and is a predicted model, not a curated record.
UUUUGUUUUUUGUUUCUGUGAGGGUGUGUGUGUUCCCACGUCUGCUUGCAUCUGUGUAUGUAUGUAUAUACGUACGUUCUAGCUUAUUCUCUUUUCACAGUCCUUCUCCUCUAUCACAAAUUCUUAAAGUUUUGUAUUCUAUAGAUUCACGAUAUAAUUUGUGAAAGAUUUCUAUAUCUCUGGACUAAUUUUUGAGAAUACUUAAAUUUAUGACUAUCUUCAUCACUGUUUUAUAUCGUAUUAUGCCGUGUCCUGUGUGUGUGUGUGUGUGUGUCCCGACCCUGUUUUCAUAUUAGGUCAUGUCGCGAGGUCAACUUAAUCUACCUUUUUAAUGGAGUUUCGCCGCAUGCUAGUUUGACCUUAAUUAACUUCGGAAUCAUGUAUUUAGUGGUUGGCCCAAUUCACGUUUGUGGCAGCAUAAUAUGUCCUCUACAUUUACCUUUCAGUAUCAUAUGACUAUAAAACAAUAAAAAACAAUGCCUUUUUAAUAAAACCCUCGAGGCAGGAGGAAAGGAAGGUGGGCAAAGAAGAAGAAAAAAGCUUAUUUUCGCUGAAUUAAAAGAAGAAACACGUCACAACUUGUGGGAAAAAAUGUUCUGCGCUGACAGGGAAGGAGAGAGAAAAGUUUCUUGAGUGGUGGCGUAAAGUUCUGAAGUUCAUUAAGAGUGAAGUGUGAAGUUGUGUGUUGGAUGAUAAUAAGAAGGAAGCGCCAGAGAGGGAACGACGGGGAGGACAUGGGCGGUAUGGGAUGGAGUGUAGUGGAUUGGAGAGGAGUGGAGAAUGGCAGUUUAGUGAGGGAGCGGGAAGGGAGUGGAUCAGGGUUUUGCUGGUGGGAAACGAUUAAGCCAGGAAGGAGGAGGGCAGUUUGUGAGGAGAGGGACUCGGUAGCAAAAACUGAGGUGUGGUAAGAACAUCCGAGACAGGAGAUGAGACGAGGUGAAGAUGCUCAAAGUGAAGCUGACCAAGAAAACACGGAGAUAGGGAAAUUGUAAAAAACCUAGAAAAUGGCUGCAAGAAAAGCGAAAAGAUGGAUAGGUGGAGCGAAAUAUAACUGAUCGGAAAAAAAAUGAUAAGCUACUACAAGAAAAUGGAGAAUAGAACAUUAGCAAAAGGUGGUACAUGGGGAAGGAUUGGAGUGAAGAAAAGGAUGACAAACUGAAAUGUAAUAUGAGGUGGAGAGAUAUGUAACUUAAGGGAACAUUGACCGCAUUUUGAGUGAAAAUCCGAGUCAAAAGCAAAAAUGAGCUAUCCACACCAAAAAAUCGACCAAUGCUUCGGCAACAAUCUCCCAAAGUUUGAGGCCGAAAGUAUGUAUGUUAAAGAUUUAAAGGGCCGGGGGCGUGGUUUGUUUACUCUUUGGCAUUUAUAUUACGUUCUCAGAUACCCCAUGUGCUUUCUCAUUUUCCAUAAUAUUUUUUCCUUGAAUUUUUGCGGGAUUUUUUUAAAAUACUUACCUGGAUGUAUUUGGCAUCCAUCCAUGAGUGGAAAAAGGAGGGGAGAGGCGAGUGAGUGGGAGACAAUGACUGAUUAGUGUCGGUCAAGGUCAGUGGGGGGAUUGCACGCCGCAUACGCUUCUGCUAAACGUCGCAUUUACAGGCGUCAACAAGCUUAAUUGUUUUGCUAUCUUGUCUGAAGACUACGACAGCAUGCCUAGACCGAAGAAACACAUACAUCUGCGACGUGAGCAUGCUAAGAAAGCUACCAGACCCUUCGUUGCGGCAAGACAAGCGGCUGCAAGCCCACGUUCUCGACCCUCACUCGCGGCUCUGUCCCUCACGCCAGCUACAACCACUACUGACUUUGCCCCUCCUACCUCGACUGGUGCUGCUCUAAGUGUUCCUACAAGUGCUCAAAAAAGAAAUUCCUAGUUUGAAACACAAAAAAGAAAGAGGGACAUAGUAAAGUCAGAGCUAUCUUUGAUGUUGAAGAUGCUUCAAGAAAUCGCAGUUUUCUCAAAUGUAGUUUUCUUCACUUUUAAUUGACACUACAUCGUUAGUUUUUGUGAUAUUGACUCCAUUUUUUUUUUUUUUUUUUGCAUUGUCCUUGUCUUUCUAUUGCCUACGCAUUUUAUGUCUUGGUUUUAACUUAUAAUGAAAAAAAAAUUCAUAUACAUAAAUACAAAUUUUCUAAGCUGUGUGUAUAGUCAUACAUAAAUAUAUAUUUUUUCCCAUACUAUACAUUUUUGGGUAAAAGUAGGCAUAACAUCCAUUAAGGAUUAUAUAAUUAAUUUUGUCACUGACAAUUUGUAAAUAAUGAUGAGAUGAUUUAGUUUUCAGCAGUAUUGAGCUAAAAUUUGUAUAAGUCAAAUUUAUAUAAAAAUAUUUUUUUCUCUCUUUCUUUUUCAUAUCUCGUCCUACAAUUUAUACACACAUAAGUAGGUAUCUUAGCUAGUAAUAGCAAAUAUAAAUCAUCCAUGUUAAUUAACAAUUUCAUAAAUCUUACAAAAUGCGGACAAUGUUCCCUUAAAAGAACAACAUUUACAGAGGUCAGAGAAGAUGGUAUUGGAUGAAGGGGCGUGGAGCAUGAAAGUGACAUAAAAAACCGUAAUGGGGUGGGACGGGGCUGGUUGGAGGAAAAAAUGGAGGCAAAAAGGGACUGAACGGAGGGAAAAUGAGGGAACAGAGAUUAUUAUGGUAGGACUGGGUUGAGUUGAGAGAAAAGUGGAGACGGGAAGGAACCGGACGGAGUAAGAGUGACAGAAAACAAAAUGAUGCAAGGACGGGGUUGGCUGAGGCAAAUAACAGGAACAAAAGGGAACUACCAGAUGAAGGAAAGUUAACCGAAGAAAAAAUGCAAGGGUUAGGUUUGUUGGAGCUAAAAUAGGAGACAGUAAUGAACAUGGUGGAGAGUAAGUGGCGGAACGAAGUAAUGUGAGUGUGGGAUUGGGCCGAACAAACAAAAAAAAAAGGAAUCGGAUAGAGAAAUUUAAGAAUGACGGAAAAAAAAUUAUGUUCUGACAGGAUGGUAUGGGGCAAUAUUCAUGGGUGAGGAAGAGAUAGAACGAACAAAAUAUUGGUUAAAAACUGGGAAAGGGACGAGGUUAUGCAGAGUAAAAUGGUGAAAAGUGGAAGGGACACGAUAGAAGGAAAGUGACAGAAAAGAAAUAAUAAAAAUAUGGGAAAGGGACGAGGUUAUGCAGAGUAAAAUGGUGAAGAUUGGAAGGGACAGGAUAGAAGGAAUGUGACGGAAAAGAAAUGCUGCUGGAUGGGGUAGGAGCUACGAAACCUUUAGGAGUCUUUUGUAAUCCUCUGGGAUGUGUAUAGGAGGCUCAGCACACAGUAUUACAUGUUCUCUGUGAAGGUCUUUGUGUAGGCGAGAUUAUGAGGCCAUAUUAAAGUUGACGUGAAGUGUCUGCCGCAGCGCACACAACUGGGACAAGCUGGCUCAAGGGAGUGACUAGGACAGCCUCCUUGAUGAGGAUUAAUGGACGUGAGUAAGUAGGCCCCAAAAAAUUUUUAGACAAUCAAGAACAGACGAAGUUACCCGCUUGGUCUACACUGGAAAACUUGCAUCAGAAUAUACAUUAAAACUAAAUAUAUAAAAGGGGCAUCGUGAAGCUUUAAAGAAAGCAUAUUCACAUAUCCCUUAAUAAGGAUUUAUGGGAAUAUCUUUGAAGAUUAACUAAUAGGACAAGAUAUUAAAAGAAAGGCUGAAUACAUGAAGAAAAUGUAUCAUGAAAUUUUAAAAGCUGUUAAACACUUGGAUAUCUUAAUUAAGUCUCUUCAGACAACUUCACACUUCAUGACAUCAAAGGUCAGCGAAACAAAGGAACAUCAACUUUUUUUGCCAGCAGAGAAGAGUAAGGCUUAGCGAGGAAAGCUCCGUCUCCAGAACACCAAUGAGGUACGGGAAGGCCGCCUCUAUAGGAUCCCAAGUGGCGAGGGGAGGAUCUAUCGUUCCUUGGGGGAUUCUAUAAGUUUAAACCAUUAAGGAAGAUGAGGACGCCACCAAAUUAUCUUUAGGGGACUAGGGAAUCAUUAUAUCUUCUCGAAGGAAGGAAGAAAAAAAAAAGACAUUAAUCUAUAAGUAGCA